GCGAAGGUGGCGGAAUUGGUAGACGCGCUAGCUUCAGGUGUUAGUGUUAUUACGGACGUGGGGGUUCAAGUCCCCCCCCUCGCACCA
This 87-nucleotide transfer RNA is filed under the name Escherichia coli. Its description in RNAcentral is "tRNA-Leu". It matches the Rfam family "tRNA". Rfam says of the family: Transfer RNA (tRNA) molecules are approximately 80 nucleotides in length. Their secondary structure includes four short double-helical elements and three loops (D, anti-codon, and T loops). Lineage: Bacteria; Pseudomonadati; Pseudomonadota; Gammaproteobacteria; Enterobacterales; Enterobacteriaceae. The record is from RNAcentral. RNAcentral also lists the same sequence under 3 other names.